AGAGUUUGAUCCUGGCUCAGAUUGAACGCUGGCGGAAUGCUUUACACAUGCAAGUCGAACGGCAGCACGGGGGCAACCCUGGUGGCGAGUGGCGAACGGGUGAGUAAUAUAUCGGAACGUGCCCAGUCGUGGGGGUAACGUAGCGAAAGUUACGCUAAUACCGCAUACGAUCUACGGAUGAAAGCGGGGGAUCGCAAGACCUCGCGCGAUUGGAGCGGCCGAUAUCAGAUUAGGUAGUUGGUGGGGUAAAGGCUCACCAAGCCAACGAUCUGUAGCUGGUCUGAGAGGACGACCAGCCACACUGGGACUGAGACACGGCCCAGACUCCUACGGGAGGCAGCAGUGGGGAAUUUUGGACAAUGGGCGAAAGCCUGAUCCAGCCAUUCCGCGUGCAGGACGAAGGCCUUCGGGUUGUAAACUGCUUUUGUACGGAACGAAAAAGCCUUGGCUAAUACCCAGGGUCCAUGACGGUACCGUAAGAAUAAGCACCGGCUAACUACGUGCCAGCAGCCGCGGUAAUACGUAGGGUGCGAGCGUUAAUCGGAAUUACUGGGCGUAAAGCGUGCGCAGGCGGUUAUAUAAGACAGAUGUGAAAUCCCCGGGCUCAACCUGGGAACUGCAUUUGUGACUGUAUAGCUAGAGUGCGGCAGAGGGGGAUGGAAUUCCGCGUGUAGCAGUGAAAUGCGUAGAUAUGCGGAGGAACACCGAUGGCGAAGGCAAUCCCCUGGGCCUGCACUGACGCUCAUGCACGAAAGCGUG
RNAcentral lists this ribosomal RNA (759 nucleotides) under uncultured bacterium. RNAcentral describes it as "bacterial SSU rRNA". It matches the Rfam family "Bacterial small subunit ribosomal RNA", at positions 8 to 763 of the family's 1533-position model. The record is from RNAcentral.